RNAcentral lists this non-coding RNA (27 nucleotides) under Bombyx mori (domestic silkworm). Lineage: Eukaryota; Metazoa; Arthropoda; Insecta; Lepidoptera; Bombycidae. The record is from RNAcentral.
CCGGAAUUCAGGAGGGUAACCUACAGA